UGUAAUGGCAUAUGUGGUUUCCCACAU
RNAcentral lists this unclassified non-coding RNA (27 nucleotides) under Mus musculus (house mouse). Its description in RNAcentral is "oocyte_clustered_small_RNA10783". The record is from RNAcentral. Lineage: Eukaryota; Metazoa; Chordata; Mammalia; Rodentia; Muridae.